RNAcentral lists this ribosomal RNA (497 nucleotides) under uncultured bacterium. Its description in RNAcentral is "partial 16S ribosomal RNA". It matches the Rfam family "Bacterial small subunit ribosomal RNA", at positions 28 to 507 of the family's 1533-position model. The record is from RNAcentral.
GACGAACGCUGGCGGCGUGCCUAAUACAUGCAAGUUGAGCGCUGAAGGUUGGUACUUGUACCAACUGGAUGAGCAGCGAACGGGUGAGUAACGCGUGGGGAAUCUGCCUUUGAGCGGGGGACAACAUUUGGAAACGAAUGCUAAUACCGCAUAAAAACUUUAAACACAAGUUUUAAGUUUGAAAGAUGCAAUUGCAUCACUCAAAGAUGAUCCCUCGUUGUAUUAGCUAGUUGGUGAGGUAAAGGCUCACCAAGGCGAUGAUACAUAGCCGACCUGAGAGGGUGAUCGGCCACAUUGGGACUGAGACACGGCCCAAACUCCUACGGGAGGCAGCAGUAGGGAAUCUUCGGCAAUGGACGAAAGUCUGACCGAGCAACGCCGCGUGAGUGAAGAAGGUUUUCGGAUCGUAAAACUCUGUUGGUAGAGAAGAACGUUGGUGAGAGUGGAAAGCUCAUCAAGUGACGGUAACUACCCAGAAAGGGACGGCUAACUACGUG